RNAcentral lists this unclassified non-coding RNA (561 nucleotides) under Hevea brasiliensis (rubber tree). The record is from RNAcentral. Lineage: Eukaryota; Viridiplantae; Streptophyta; Magnoliopsida; Malpighiales; Euphorbiaceae.
AUUUAUUUUGCUAUAUCUUUUGAAUCAAUAGAAAUCCUAGGUUUAUAUCUAUAUCGGUGAAAACUAACUUUAAUCUAAGAUUCCUUUUCCUUCUGUAGAAUUAAUAAAAAAACAAACUAAAGUACUGAUACACAGAAAAGGAAAUUUGGGACCAAUAGCAACAACAAGAGAAUUGUGUUAUUCACGCCACCCUUCCCAAGAGAUUACAUCAGUAUAUAUUGGCUAUACACUGAUGGAAUACAGUUUACUAACUACACAUGCUAACUAACAUGAAUCCUCUCCAAUCUUUGCUUGACACGUGUCUUCCUCAACGUAACCCACUCUAACAACUCUAACAGCCAUAACAGCCAUACAGCACAGCUCCAAUUCUCCCGCCUUUCCUCUUAAGCUCAGCGCACCAUUUUGCCUUAUUCUUAUAACAAGUACUUAGUGUCACUGUAAUUAUGAUGAGAAACAAUAUUCUUUUAGUAAACUUCUUUGAAUAGGGAUUUGUUUAUUCAUUAUUGUAAAUCACUGCUGUUUAGAUUUGUGUUGCUUAUAAAUCGUAGCAUGUAAGGUGUU